AGGGGCCUUUUCUUUGGGGUACGUCAGGACAACCGGGUAUUGGCCGGCUGCUUUUCUUUCCCAACAAAAGAGCUUUACAACCCGAAGGCCUUCUUCACUCACGCGGCAUGGCUGGAUCAGGCUUGCGCCCAUUGUCCAAUAUUCCCCACUGCUGCCUCCCGUAGGAGUCCCCCCGUGCCCCCGCCCCGCCCGCCGCGCGCGGCGGGCAGGGCGGGGGCACGGGGGG
RNAcentral lists this ribosomal RNA (226 nucleotides) under uncultured bacterium. RNAcentral's name for it is "partial 16S ribosomal RNA". The record is from RNAcentral.